CCGCCCGGUCACCCUGACCACCCACCCGCGGAACACGAAGCCGGAGGAGAGGCUCGCCUCGAACCUUCUUUCUCCUUCACCCGGCCUCCACGCAACGCGAACGAAACCGAAGUCCCAAAUCAAUCCAUUUCAUUUCGGUUUCGAAUCCCCUGGGGACGAGCUCGCGUCGCCUUCCCCCUCCGCCCGCCCCGUCGCCAUCCGCCCCCUUCGAAUCUGCAGGCGGCGCCGCCUGGCCUCGUUGUCGCCACGGGAGGCGCGCGGGAUGGGGCGGUUGUUUGCGGUGGACGCCGCGGCGGCCUCGUCGGCCGCGGCCGCAGCGGCGCUGAACGGCGCGGUGGACUGGUGGAAAGACGUGAACGACUCGCCGAUGUGGCAGGACCGCAUCUUCCACGCCCUCGCCGUGCUCUACGGCAUCGUCUCCGUCGUCGCGCUUGUCCAAUUGAUCAGAAUCGAGUGCAGGGUGCCCGAGUACGGGUGGACGACGCAGAAGGUGUUCCAUUUCCUUAACUUCAUCGUGAAUGGCGUGCGGGCUAUCGUGUUUGUGCUGCGGCGAAACGUGCAGCUGAUACAACCAGAGAUACUUCAACAUGUGGUUCUUGACAUGCCUGGGCUUGCGUUCUUCACUACAUACGCGCUUUUGGUGCUAUUCUGGGCCGAGAUUUACUAUCAGGCACGUGCGAUGUCGACUGAUGGGCUGAGGCCAACUUUCUAUUGGAUCAAUGGGGUGGUGUAUGCAAUUCAGAUAAUUCUGUGGUUGGUUUUGUGGUGGAAACCAGUUCGAGUUAUGGUCAUAUUGUCCAAGAUGUUCUUUGCAGGCGUAUCACUGUUUGCAGCUUUUGGGUUCCUUCUGUAUGGUGGGAGGCUAUUCCUCAUGUUGCAACGUUUUCCCGUAGAAUCAAAAGGACGACGGAAGAAAUUGCAGGAGGUUGGCUAUGUCACUACCAUCUGUUUUACUUGUUUCUUGAUCAGAUGUGUCAUGAUGUGUCUCAAUGCAUUUGAUAAAGCGGCUGACCUUGAUGUUCUGAGCCAUCCGAUUCUGAAUUUCUUUUAUUACCUGCUGGUCGAGAUCGUACCUUCAGCUAUGGUUCUGUUUAUACUAAGGAAACUGCCCCCAAAACGUGGGAUCACGCAGUACCAUCCUAUCCAUUAGAGCAGAGCAGCCCUGGUACCAGGCUGGUACAGACAAAUGCUUCUUACAGAAUUGGUAAAUACAGGAGAGGCAAUGUGAAGAUCACCGCACUUGCACUGAAGCUUGCCCAGGUUUUAAAUGAGGAAGCCUUUAGGAUUUCAGGUUGCUAUUGCUUGUAAAAGAGAUUUGCAAUGUAGUUCAAAAAAAGAAGAGAUUUGCAAUGUCAUGCUGUUUACAGGUCUAGAAAAAUGCAAGUUAUAUAAUGUAUGUAUACCUUUGUUCUUCUCAGUACUUUCCACCUUGUAGUCUGCACCGCGCCACAGCAAUCACGGCUGGAACCGCAUAUUUGAUUUUUGACCCACCUUGCCAUUUCACC
This 1505-nucleotide ribosomal RNA is filed under the name Triticum aestivum (bread wheat). RNAcentral's name for it is "partial small subunit ribosomal RNA". The record is from RNAcentral. Lineage: Eukaryota; Viridiplantae; Streptophyta; Magnoliopsida; Poales; Poaceae.